Molecule: ribosomal RNA, 253 nt
Filed under: uncultured bacterium
Lineage: Bacteria
Description: partial 16S ribosomal RNA
Rfam family: Archaeal small subunit ribosomal RNA
Source: RNAcentral
UACCAGCACCCCGAGUGGUCGGGACGUUUAUUGGGCCUAAAGCAUCCGUAGCCGGUUCUACAAGUCUUCCGUUAAAUCCACCUGCUUAACAGAUGGGCUGCGAAAGAUACUAUAGAGCUAGGAGGCGGGAGAGGCAAGCGGUACUCGAUGGGUAGGGGUAAAAUCCGUUGAUCCAUUGAAGACCACCAGUGGCGAAGGCGGCUUGCCAGAACGCGCUCGACGGUGAGGGAUGAAAGCUGGGGGAGCAAACCGG